GCGGCUGUCUAUUUAACUCUUAAAUGCUAAUCCAACAGAACUUCAUUCCUUGCAAAGGCUAAAUCAUACAACAAAUAACAAUACUACUUCCUGCUGUUCAACUACACAUGACAUGUUUCAUUUAUAGAACAGACUAAAAAAGGUAUCACUAAUCCCCCAUCAAACAGAGUAACAAUCUGGCCCUCAUAAUUUGCAACAAGAUUCUGCAGGAUCCAUUGAACCUCCUGGAGCAGACUCAACCUCAGAUUAUACACGUACCUCCAUUUCUAAAAUUUGCUUAUAGACCAUAUCUCCACUUAGGGUCUAUUAGGUAAAUUGACACCAUAAUAGAUCUUUGCGAACCUGACCAGAAAGCCUUUCAUUUCUGGGCCAGUAUCAUUCCGAGAUAUCCUCCCCUAGAAUCAUCUGUGCCGCCUUGCAGGUGAUCUGGACCUUGACCUCCUUCCCCUGGUAGUCUCAAGAGAAGAGUAGGGAGAAUGCCUGCGCUGAGAAUGCUUGCUAUGAGGUGACCGCGAAACUUGUCUUCUCCUAGACCUGACGGGUGAAGGUGAUAAGUUCCGCUUUCUUGAAUGUAGCUUUCUCUUAGAAUCAUCUGAUACUUCAGCGCUUGAAUCAUUGUCCUUGCUGUUUCUACCCCUACUGCUGGUUGAAGAGGAACGUCUUCUCUUAUGCCUGCUUGAGUCACUAGCGCGUUUAUGUCUUGCUCUAUCUUCCUCCUUAUCCUUCACUCGUCCUCUUUUUCUGUUAUCCUCUUUGGCACUUGAUCUUUGAAGUUUCUCUGCUUCUUUCCUAUCCUCCUUGACAUCAAGAUGAGAAGAUCUUUUUCUUGAUUCAGAUUCCUUUGCAUUUUCUCCAGUCCUAUCACCUCUCUCUUUCAUUCUUUCUUUUGAGCCAUUUUGGUUAUCUGUCUUUUCCUUUCUCAGAUGCAUUUCAUCUUGCCUCCUACGAUUGCCAUCUCCUUUCUCAUCUACCCUACUCCCAUGUUGUGCCUCCUUAAUAUCUUUUCCAGAAUAACUUCUUUUAUUUUCAUGUCGGUUAUCUUCAUUUGAUUUCAUCCUCGUUUCCCUAACUUGAGAAUCUUCUACAACAUUUUCUCCAAGAGCAGACCUCAUUCCAGACCCAUUAGUUGUAUGUAUGGUUUUUCGACUAUCAA
RNAcentral lists this unclassified non-coding RNA (1153 nucleotides) under Hevea brasiliensis (rubber tree). Lineage: Eukaryota; Viridiplantae; Streptophyta; Magnoliopsida; Malpighiales; Euphorbiaceae. The record is from RNAcentral.